AUUGAACGCUGGCGGGAAUGCUUUACACAUGCAAGUCGAACGGUAGAGGGGGCAACCCCUUGAGAGUGGCGAACGGGUGAGUAAUAUAUCGGAACGUGCCAGUCGUGGGGAUAACGUAGCGAAAGUUACGCUAAUACCGCAUACGAUCUAAGGAUGAAAGCGGGGGAUCGCAAGACCUCGCGCGAUUGGAGCGGCCGAUAUCAGAUUAGGUAGUUGGUGAGGUAAAGGCUCACCAAGCCCAACCGAUCUGUAGCUGGUCUGAGAGGACGACCAGCCACACUGGGACUGAGACACGG
Molecule: ribosomal RNA, 296 nt
Filed under: uncultured bacterium
Lineage: Bacteria
Description: partial 16S ribosomal RNA
Rfam family: Bacterial small subunit ribosomal RNA
Source: RNAcentral